Molecule: ribosomal RNA, 776 nt
Filed under: uncultured bacterium
Lineage: Bacteria
Description: bacterial SSU rRNA
Rfam family: Bacterial small subunit ribosomal RNA
Source: RNAcentral
AACGAACGCUGGCGGCAGGCCUCAAACAUGCAAGUCUAGGGGGUAGCAAUACCACCGGCGGACGGGUGCGUAACGCGUGGGAAUGUACCUACUGGUUCGGAACAACUGCGGGAAACUGCAGCUAAUACCGAAUGUGCCCGAAAGGGGAAAGAUUUAUCGCCAGUAGAUCAGCCCGCGUAGGAUUAGCUAGUUGGUGGGGUAAUGGCUCACCAAGGCUCCGAUCCUUAGCUGUUCUGAGAGGAAGAUCAGCCACACUGGGACUGAGACACGGCCCAGACUCCUACGGGAGGCAGCAGUUGGGAAUCUUGGACAAUGGGGGAAACCCUGAUCCAGCCAUGCCGCGUGAGUGAUGAAGGCCUUCGGGUUGUAAAACUCUUUCGACGGGGACGAUAAUGACGGUACCCGUAGAAGAAGCUCCGGCUAACUUCGUGCCAGCAGCCGCGGUAAUACGAAGGGGGCUAGCGUUGUUCGGAAUUACUGGGCGUAAAGCGCGCGCAGGCGGUCUUCCAAGUCAGUGGUGAAAGCCCGGAGCUCAACUCCGGAACUGCCAUUGAAACUGUUAGACUUGAGGACGAGAGAGGUGAGUGGAAUUCCCAGUGUAGAGGUGAAAUUCGUAGAUAUUGGGAAGAACACCGGUGGCGAAGGCGGCUCACUGGCUCGUAUCUGACGCUCAGGCGCGAUAGCGUGGGGAUCAAACAGGAUUAGAUACCCUGGUAGUCCACGCCGUAAACGAUGAAUGCUAGCCGUUGGGCAGCUUGCUGUUCAGUGGCGCAGCU